Molecule: ribosomal RNA, 468 nt
Filed under: uncultured bacterium
Lineage: Bacteria
Description: partial 16S ribosomal RNA
Rfam family: Bacterial small subunit ribosomal RNA
Source: RNAcentral
GACGAACGCUGGCGGCGUGCUUAACACAUGCAAGUCGAACGGAAAGGCCCUGCUUUUGUGGGGUGCUCGAUUGGCGAACGGGUGAGUAACACGUGAGUAACCUGCCCUUGACUUUGGGAUAACUUCAGGAAACUGGGGCUAAUACCGGAUAGGAGCUCCUGCUGCAUGUUGGUGGUUGGAAAGUUUCGGCGGUUGGGGAUGGACUCGCGGCUUAUCAGCUUGUUGGUGGGGUAGUGGCUGACCAAGGCUUUGACGGGUAGCCGGCCUGAGAGGGUGACCGGCGACAUGGGGACUGAGAUACGGCCCAGACGCGUACGUGAGGCAGUGGUGGGGAACAUUGCACAACGGGCGGAAGUCUGAGGUAGAAACGCCGCGUGCGGGAUGACGGCUUUCUGGGGGUAAACCGAUUUGGCCUUUGCCGAAGAGUGAGUGACGGUAAUGGGUCAAGAAGCAACGGCUAACUACGUG